RNAcentral lists this transfer RNA (73 nucleotides) under Corynebacterium mendelii. It matches the Rfam family "tRNA". From Rfam's summary of the family: Transfer RNA (tRNA) molecules are approximately 80 nucleotides in length. Their secondary structure includes four short double-helical elements and three loops (D, anti-codon, and T loops). Further hydrogen bonds mediate the characteristic L-shaped molecular structure. tRNAs have two regions of fundamental functional importance: the anti-codon, which is responsible for specific mRNA codon recognition, and the 3' end, to which the tRNAs corresponding amino acid is attached (by aminoacyl-tRNA synthetases). tRNAs cope with the degeneracy of the genetic code in two manners: having more than one tRNA (with a specific anti-codon) for a particular amino acid; and 'wobble' base-pairing, i.e. permitting non-standard base-pairing at the 3rd anti-codon position. The record is from Rfam by way of RNAcentral. Lineage: Bacteria; Bacillati; Actinomycetota; Actinomycetes; Mycobacteriales; Corynebacteriaceae.
GCUGGAGUGGCGCAAUCGGUAGCGCACCUGUCUUGUAAACAGGUGGUUGUGAGUUCGAGUCUCAUCUCCAGCU